This is a long non-coding RNA of Anolis carolinensis (green anole), 2706 nucleotides long. NCBI's taxonomy places the organism in Eukaryota, Metazoa, Chordata, Lepidosauria, Squamata, Anolidae. The record is from Ensembl.
AUGUUUGCUUUGUGUAUUUAUCUCAUUCCCUUGCUUGUCUCUGCAGAUGCUUGGACUGGGCUGAGUAUUGGAUUAGCUUUGCUGUUGAUUGAAAUUGCAGCCACUGUUUCAUGCCUCCUUUCAAAGAGGAAAUUGGCAAGAACAAAACCUGAGAACUUCAAUACAGCAUUUGACAACCCACUUUAUGAGGCUCAGAGUGUAAAGUCUACAGAGUGUUCUGCCUCACUGGAAGCUCGGAUCAGUGUUUCUCCAUGGCAGGCACAGCAGGAGGUUUCCUACAACAAUGAUGUAAUGCCUACUUCCUUUGCUAAUCCUCUCUAUGGCACAACAGAAGGGGAAGAUGCCGUGAAACAGUAGAGGUGGGCACAAUACAGGGUGGACAUUUUAUUCAACUUUAUCUGAUGUAAUGUACCUUGCUUUUUUAAAAAAAAAUGAAUUGACUAAUGGCAUAGCAUUUGUAAACUGAACAAAAAUAGAGUGAUUUUCAUAUUAGAAGAGUAAUGUUCUCCAGAUUACACUUCAUUCAAAAUAGCAUCAAGUCCACCCACAUGGGGAGGCAGAGCCUUAAAUGGUAGUUAUGUUGGCAGCAAUAUUCUUGGUAAUUAUUUGUUUUGAAUUGACUAGAUGGUUGAGCAGCUCAAAUUCCAGUGUAUUAAUAAAGAAAAGUUUCAUUUAAUCUAAAGCAGGAUUGAGGUUUUCUUGGCAUUCUAAUUUUACUGCCUUUAUUGAAAAAUGAUGACUGAAAAAUGUUCAUGCUUCUAAAUGCAGGGACUUAAAAAGUUAUAUUACACACAAAAUAACAGCUUCGGCAGAAUCCAAGUGAUCAGAGUGAUUGCAAUAGCUUUGCUCUUACAAUAACAACAUAGCGUAAUGGAUACUUUAGAGAACUAAUCUGUUUUGCUUGACUUUGUCGGAUCUACACCAAACCAAACAUAGUUUCAAAGAUACCACCGUCUUGCCUUCUGAUCUCACUAGCCAUGUUGGUGGGGAUAGGCCAGAAGGCAACUUUUCCAAAUUUUAAGCAAAGGUACCAAGUAUGCGACCAUAAAUUCAAUUUAGAAAUGGCGAGGUGUAAAUGUAAUUAUUUUAAAAAUUCUAACAACAUAUGCUUGUGAUCUCAUAUAGUCUAGACAUUAUUAAAUGAUUCUUAAAUAUUUGGCAACUGUCUUUACUUUUGGGAGGUACUCCACACAGUGGGAUCAGAGGUUGAACAGUGGUCAACAUAUUUUACUAAUGGAGGCCAUAGAACCCUUAAAUAUCAUCAACCGACUUUACUGUUGAACAGCCUAUACCAUAAACCUGUACUGUACACUGUAGAGAAGCAAUGCAAAAGAGAUCCCCAUCUAACCAUUUGAUUUAAUAUAGAAACUGUAUGAAUGUUUGAAUGUGCUUUUUUAUAGCAGUUUCCUGUCACAGAAUAUGAGAUCUGUCACUCUCUGGACUCUCUUUGCAGCAAGGUGGGGCUUUUACCUAAAAUCUUCUUUAGAUUUUUGCAUUUAGAUAGCAUUUUUAACAGAAGUAUGAUAGAUGCUGUCUCCCGUUCAUCUCGCCCAUCAUGUAAUCAUUGCUCAAUGCACUUAUUGCACAAAGAACAAAAUCUGCAUUUAUAUUUCCAGAAUUACAAUUGCCUUAUGUUUGGCAAUCCAGUAGGAGUAACCUCAAUAUUGAAAUUGAGGAAGCCAAAUCUAUUUGAGCCUGGUCCAUAGGAAGGUAACCUGUGGGCCAUGAGCCACAUGUGACCCGUGAACUACUCAAUGCAUCCCCAGUUUACUCCCACAUACACAUCUCCAGGAUAUUUUUGAAGUAUUACAAGCUUUUCACAACCUUUCUUGUACCACGCUGCUAUCAACAUAUCUCUGGUAAUAAGCAUCAAAACACAGUAGGAUAUUAACAUUGUGUGUCAGCUGGCUACGACUUAGAAUCAGAAUCAAACAUCAUUUUAAGUGAAGACGAAUUGCAAACCAACAGUGUUAUCUUACCUUUCAAGUCUUGCACUUUUUAACAUUUAUAAUUAUGUUUUUAAAAACUCUUUCUGGAACCUUUGUGCUAAAGAACUGUGCUAAGAAAGCUCAAGUAACUCAUGUAAAGGUAAAGGUUUUCUCCUGACAUUAAGUCUAGUCGGGUGUUGGUGCUCAUCUCCAUUUCUAAGUCAAAGAACCGGCAUUCUCCGUAGACACCUCCAAGGUUAUGUGGCCAGCAUGACUGCAUUGAAUGCCAUUACCUUCCUGCCAGAGCAGUACCUAUUGAUUUACUCACAUUUGCAUGUUUUAAAACUGCUAGGUUGACAGAAGCUGGGACUAACAGCAGGAGCUCACUCCGUUCCCCGGAUUCAAAAUGCCGACCUUUCAGUCAGCAGGUUCAACAGCUCAGCGGUUUAACUCGCUGAGCCACCAGGGUCUCCCAAGUAACUCAGGCAUUAGUUAAUUUCAAUUCAGGUUGAAAGUACAAGAUUGGGAAAAAGACAAUGUAGGGGAAGUCAUUGUCCUCCACUUGAGUGAUCAGGUUGGACCUACUGCUUUAGCACAACUAUUUGAGAGACAGUUUUGAAAAAUGACAAAUACAAGCAAACUUCAGUUAACAAUGCCUCUGCUAGCAAAAGUUCCUUUUUAAAAAGCUUAAGAGGUUGACUACAUGGGUGAGAAAGAAUUAUAUUCACCACAUAUCCAGUGAAAGCAUAACACACAAGCUUCAGAUAGAUGGGAAGUC